UGCCGCACCGGAUUUUUGAUUGUUAAACUCAACACUACAAACAUACCGAGUUAAACUAUCCGUUAAAAGGGCAGGCCUCAACCUUCGGGUUGUCUUCGGACACGGAGGAUCCCCGCUUAACGGGUGUACUCAAAUCCUGUCGUCAGGAGUUUAAAUAAUCCAAACUGGUGCGGCACCCUAU
Molecule: small RNA, 181 nt
Filed under: Thermophagus xiamenensis
Lineage: Bacteria; Pseudomonadati; Bacteroidota; Bacteroidia; Marinilabiliales; Marinilabiliaceae
Description: Anaerophaga sp. HS1 Bacteroidales-1 6S-Bacteroidales RNA suggested
Rfam family: Bacteroidales-1 6S-Bacteroidales RNA suggested
Source: Rfam by way of RNAcentral